RNAcentral lists this long non-coding RNA (72 nucleotides) under Monodelphis domestica (gray short-tailed opossum). Its description in RNAcentral is "lncRNA (ENSMODG00000046553.1)". The record is from RNAcentral. Lineage: Eukaryota; Metazoa; Chordata; Mammalia; Didelphimorphia; Didelphidae.
ACUUUCCCCAGGAACCAAGGUGGCAUAAGGGAGAGUGCUCUCAGGUAUUGGAACUGUGCCUAGGACCUCUAC